This 484-nucleotide ribosomal RNA is filed under the name uncultured bacterium. RNAcentral describes it as "partial 16S ribosomal RNA". It matches the Rfam family "Bacterial small subunit ribosomal RNA", at positions 30 to 507 of the family's 1533-position model. The record is from RNAcentral.
AGUGAACGCUGGCGGCAUGCUUUACACAUGCAAGUCGAACGGCAGCGCGGGCUUCGGCCUGGCUGCGAGUGGCGAACGGGCGAGUAAUGCAUCGGAACGUGCCCAUCAGCGUGGGAUAGGCCGGCGAAAGCCGGAUUAAUACCGCAUACGACCUGAGGGUGAAAGCGGGGGGCCGAAAGGCCUUGCGCUAUUGGACCGGCCGAUGUCGGAUUAGCUAGUUGGUGGGGUAAAGGCUUACCAAGGCGACGAUCCGUAGCUGGUCUGAGAGGAUGACCAGCCACACUGGGACUGAGACACGGCCCAGACUCCUACGGGAGGCAGCAGUGGGGAAUUUUGGACAAUGGGGGCAAGCCUGAUCCAGCCAUGCCGCGUGCGGGAAGAAGGCCUUCGGGUUGUAAAGCGCUUUUGUUCGGGAAGAAAACCUCUGGGCUAAUACCCCGGGGGGAUGACGGUACCGGAAGAAUAAGCACCGGCUAACUACGUG